Molecule: ribosomal RNA, 342 nt
Filed under: uncultured bacterium
Lineage: Bacteria
Description: bacterial SSU rRNA
Rfam family: Bacterial small subunit ribosomal RNA
Source: RNAcentral
AACGAACGCUGGCGGCAUGCCUAACACAUGCAAGUCGAACGAGACCUUCGGGUCUAGUGGCGCACGGGUGCGUAACACGUGGGAAUUUGCCUCGGGGUAUGGAAUAACUCAGGGAAACUUGAGCUAAUACCAUAUAAUGUCUUCGGACCAAAGAUUUAUCGCCCUGAGAUAAGCCCGCGUAGGAUUAGCUAGUUGGUGAGGUAAAGGCUCACCAAGGCGACGAUCCUUAGCUGGUCUGAGAGGAUGAUCAGCCACACUGGGACUGAGACACGGCCCUAGACUCCUACGGGAGGCAGCAGUGGGGAAUAUUGGACAAUGGGCGAAAGCCUGAUCCAGCAAUAG